CUAUGACUAUUGAAUGCUGCAGAAAUCAUGUGUCCAGAGUAGAAACAAGCAUUUGCAAACAUAAGUCUAACUGGAAACACUGCUGCUCAGCAAGUAAAAGAUAUGGUGAAGAACAUAGAGGACAAGUUGCAAGAAAAAAAUGAAAUCAUUUGUGACAUUUUCAUUGCAGUGGAUGAGAGCACAGAUGUAAAUAAUAUAAUUCAGUUAAUUAUAUUUUCCAGGGCGUUGAUGAGAAUUUUGACAUCACUGAAGAACUUUUGGACAUGGUGCCCAUGACAGACCCAACAUCUGAAAAUGACUUAUUUGGGUAUGUUGAGAGUCAUGAAAAGUUUAAUGUUGACUCGUCCAAACUGGGCAAACCCCUUCCCCAGCUCACCAGGGAAGAUUGGAUCAGAGACCUGGCCUUUUUGGUUGACAUUACAAACCAUCUAAACACUUUGACUAUUUCUCUGCGAAGACGUUCCCAAGUGGGGACCCAAAUAAAUCAGUUUCAAGAAAUGAAAGCGAUGGCUUAAGCUACAUCCCCAAAAUCGUGGAGCUGAAGAUUGAAUUCCAAGAAAGGUUCUCUGAUUUCAGACAUUCUGAAAAUGAGCUCAUAUUGUUCAGCCCACCUCUCUCAGUUAACACUGACAGUGUUAAUGAAGAGUUACAAACGGAAGUUAUUGAACUGCAGUGUAAUACGGUAUUAGAAACUAAAUAUGAUGACAUUGGAACACCAGAAUUCUACAAAUACCUCAGCAGGAGUUACCCCAGAUACAGAAACUUUUGUGCAAAGAUUCUGUCCAUGUUUGGAAGCACCUAUGUCUGUGAAGAGCUGUUUCUUGUUAACAAAUUGAGUAAAACUAAAUUUCUGCUCCCAGUUAAAGGAUACAAGAUUAUGGACACCUGGGUGGCUCAGUUGGUUAGGCGACUGCCUUUGGCUCUGGAAAUGAUCCUGGAAUCCCAGGAUCGAGUCCCAUAUCGGGCUCCCUGCUCUGCAGGGAGUCUGCUUCUUCCUCUGA
Molecule: long non-coding RNA, 1001 nt
Organism: Lutra lutra (Eurasian river otter)
Lineage: Eukaryota; Metazoa; Chordata; Mammalia; Carnivora; Mustelidae
Exons: 3
Source: RefSeq, a predicted model, not a curated record